This 1087-nucleotide long non-coding RNA is filed under the name Paramuricea clavata. The record is from RNAcentral. Lineage: Eukaryota; Metazoa; Cnidaria; Anthozoa; Malacalcyonacea; Plexauridae.
GCGUAUAGUUUUUUGAGGCAAAGUUUACGCAAGAAAUUAUUCGAUUUUCAUAUCCACGUUCGAAGGUAUGUAUAUAUUCAACAGUACAUAUAUCUCUUCUAAUGUAAAUUUGCUUAUUUCGUGGAAUGUCCAUUCAAGGUUUUCUAACAUUUGAUUAUCUCUUCUCAUGUAGUCCUUUCGACAGUUUGUUGUUGACGUUGUUGCAUAUACCAGUAAAUUGUAUCAUACGAACGCGGAACGCCACGACUUUAUAGUCCGAAUGUAAGUAUAUAUUUUGCUGUUUGGUUAUAUGUUUUUACUGUAUUGCUGUCUUGUCAGUUGACCUUUGAUAUUUUCCUUUAAUAAACGAGACAUUUUAAACACAAUAGUAGAGCUUACAUGGCAUGGACACAGCAUGAUACAUUUUUUCGAAAGGGCAUGUCCUAAAAACCGGUAAAUAGUUUAUACAUUGCAUUACAAUAAAAUGGAUUCUUAAUCUGAGUAUUAUCGUAUUUUAAAUGCAUACGUUCAACAUGUUUGCUGCAUAUUAUUAUAGACUCGUUUUUGAUCAUAAACAUUCCUGUAACAUGAGAACUAUAGGGAAAUUUGAAAUUAAGGCCCUUAUAGUUUGAAUAAUUUUGUGUUUGUUUUUCCAAGAUGCUAAAUAACGUAUGGCUGUUGUUACACAAUCAUUUAUGAAUUCGUUCCAUUGAAUCUUUUCCAACAGGAAAACCAAUAGCGUAUUGGAAAAUUUGCGCGACUUUUAUAUUUCAGAGCACGAUCGAAUCCGUUGAGUCAGUGAAAUGUCUGUUUCUAACAUGCAAAUUGUUUGCACUUUUAGAAAACGGUUGAUGCGUCUGCAGAUGAAGAUGGCCAAAAUAAAGAGCUAGUGACUCGAGUCUGUUGCACGAAAGUAUAACGUUCUUUUAUGCCGGUUUUCCACUAGCGAAUUUCUUCGUGCGAAACGAUAUUUAUAUGGUUAAAAUUUAAAAGACUUUAUUAUAAGGUGAUAAGUAAUUUUACAUAAGUUUCAGCUGACUGAGCAGAGAGCUCAUAAGACAAAAAAAUAUACAAUAUAGUCCGUUCGUGCGUCAAAAUUCACUUUAGC